Molecule: ribosomal RNA, 406 nt
Filed under: uncultured bacterium
Lineage: Bacteria
Description: partial 16S ribosomal RNA
Rfam family: Bacterial small subunit ribosomal RNA
Source: RNAcentral
AUUGAACGCUGGCGGCAGGCCUAAUACAUGCAAGUCGAACGAGUGGCGGACGGGCGUGUUAUGUCUGGGAAACUGCCUGAUGGAGGGGGAUAACUACUGGAUACGUUAGCUAAUACUGCAUACCAUCGGUUGUGCUCUGGUGGGAUUAGCUAGUCGGUGGGGAAACGGCUAACCAAGGCGACGAUCCCCAGCUGGUCUGCGAGGAUGACCGGCCACACUGGAACUGAGAAACGGACCAGACUCCUACGGGAGGCAGCAGGAGGGAAUAUUGCACAAUGGGCGAAAGCCUGAAGGAGCCAUGCCGCAUGAAUGAAGAAGGCCUUCGGAUUGUAAAAUACUUUCGGCGGGGAGGCGUUAUUCGCAAAGGAAGCACCGGAUAACUCCGUGCCAGCAGCCGCGGUAAUAC